RNAcentral lists this transfer RNA (72 nucleotides) under Monopsis debilis var. debilis. Its description in RNAcentral is "tRNA-Asn". It matches the Rfam family "tRNA". From Rfam's summary of the family: Transfer RNA (tRNA) molecules are approximately 80 nucleotides in length. Their secondary structure includes four short double-helical elements and three loops (D, anti-codon, and T loops). Lineage: Eukaryota; Viridiplantae; Streptophyta; Magnoliopsida; Asterales; Campanulaceae. The record is from RNAcentral.
UCCUCAGUAGCUCAGUGGUAGAGCGCUCGGCUGUUAACCGAUUGGUCGUAGGUUCAAAUCCUACUUGAGGAG